AUUAUGCAACUUUAAUAUUACAAAAUAUCUAGAUAUUGAGUUUGAUUUCAUUUAAAACAAAUUGAUUUGUUUAAAUUUCAUUAUCUUGGUAGGAUUGAAGGAUAACAAGAAAAAUCCAAUUAGGAAUCCACAUUUUGAGAUAAAAGGUGGUCACAAUCAAAUUCAUAAAAGGAUAUUCUAGACGAGCUGGGUUAUGGACUGCGUUAUGGGCACAAACAUACUUGACAAAGCCAGCCUCAAAUCCGGGAACCAAACAGAUAACUCUUAUCUGCCAAACUGUACUCAAUUUUGAUUUUAGAUACUUGUAUUUGGGUUAGGACUCUUAGCACUAUAAAAAAAGGCAUUGUGAUGUAUC
RNAcentral lists this long non-coding RNA (355 nucleotides) under Manihot esculenta (cassava). Its description in RNAcentral is "long non-coding RNA (MESC_LNC007954)". The record is from RNAcentral. Lineage: Eukaryota; Viridiplantae; Streptophyta; Magnoliopsida; Malpighiales; Euphorbiaceae.